RNAcentral lists this transfer RNA (73 nucleotides) under Sodalis sp. CWE. Its description in RNAcentral is "tRNA-Phe". It matches the Rfam family "tRNA". From Rfam's summary of the family: Transfer RNA (tRNA) molecules are approximately 80 nucleotides in length. The record is from RNAcentral. Lineage: Bacteria; Pseudomonadati; Pseudomonadota; Gammaproteobacteria; Enterobacterales; Bruguierivoracaceae.
GCCCGGAUAGCUCAGUUGGUAGAGCAGGGGACUGAAAAUCCCCGUGUCCUUGGUUCGAUUCCAAGUCUGGGCA